AGGAAAGGGACUUGGGCUUGGAG
RNAcentral lists this non-coding RNA (23 nucleotides) under Cricetulus griseus (Chinese hamster). The record is from RNAcentral. Lineage: Eukaryota; Metazoa; Chordata; Mammalia; Rodentia; Cricetidae.